RNAcentral lists this unclassified non-coding RNA (188 nucleotides) under soil metagenome. RNAcentral describes it as "partial internal transcribed spacer 1". The record is from RNAcentral.
CAGAGUUGCAAAACUCCCACAAACCAUCGCGAAUCUUACCCGUACGGUUGCCUCGGCGCUGGCGGUCCGGAAGGCCCUCAGGCCCCCCGGAUCCUCGGGUCUCCCGCUCGCGGGAGGCUGCCCGCCGGAGUGCCGAAACCAAACUCUUGAUAUUUUAUGUCUCUCUGAGUAAACUUUUAAAUAAGUCA